Molecule: ribosomal RNA, 500 nt
Filed under: uncultured bacterium
Lineage: Bacteria
Description: partial 16S ribosomal RNA
Rfam family: Bacterial small subunit ribosomal RNA
Source: RNAcentral
AUUGAACGCUGGCGGCAUGCCUUACACAUGCAAGUCGAACGGCAGCACGGGAGCAAUCCUGGUGGCGAGUGGCGAACGGGUGAGUAAUAUAUCGGAACGUGCCCAGUCGUGGGGGAUAACGUAGCGAAAGCUACGCUAAUACCGCAUACGAUCUAUGGAUGAAAGCGGGGGAUCGCAAGACCACGCGCGAUUGGAGCGGCAGAUAUCAGAUUAGGUAGUUGGUGAGGUAAAGGCUCACCAAGCCGACGAUCUGUAGCUGGGCUGAGAGGACGACCAGCCACACUGGGACUGAGACACGGCCCAGACUCCUACGGGAGGCAGCAGUGGGGAAUUUUGGACAAUGGGCGCAAGCCUGAUCCAGCAAUGCCGCGUGCAGGAUGAAGGCCUUCGGGUUGUAAACUGCUUUUGUACGGAACGAAACGGCGAGCUCUAAUACAGUUUGCUAAUGACGGUACCGUAAGAAUAAGCACCGGCUAACUACGUGCCAGCCGCCGCGGUAA